RNAcentral lists this ribosomal RNA (253 nucleotides) under uncultured bacterium. RNAcentral's name for it is "partial 16S ribosomal RNA". It matches the Rfam family "Bacterial small subunit ribosomal RNA", at positions 524 to 776 of the family's 1533-position model. The record is from RNAcentral.
UACAGAGACUGCAAGCGUUAUUCGGAUUCACUGGGCGUAAAGGGUGCGCAGGCGGCCAAGUGUGUGAGGCGUGAAAGCCUGGAGCUUAACUCCAGAAUUGCACCUCAAACUACUUGGCUAGAGCAUUGGAGAGGGUAGCGGAAUUCCCGGUGUAGUGGUGAAAUGCGUAGAUAUCGGGAGGAACACCAGUGGCGAAAGCGGCUACCUGGCCCAUUCUUGACGCUGAGGCGCGAAAGCUAGGGGAGCAAACGGG